ACAACAUUCGGCACGUUGGUCUACCGAGCAAUAUCACCCGUUCGGUAGAAGAUCUUCCUUUCGUCGU
Molecule: microRNA precursor, 67 nt
Filed under: Bombyx mori (domestic silkworm)
Lineage: Eukaryota; Metazoa; Arthropoda; Insecta; Lepidoptera; Bombycidae
Description: mir-2774 microRNA precursor family
Rfam family: mir-2774 microRNA precursor family
Source: Rfam by way of RNAcentral